CAGUGUUGUACGCUGAAACAGGGAUGUUUCUCAUUUCACUUUCUAGAUUCCAUAAUUAUCCAGCUUUAAUUGUCAACUAAGUUUUUUGCUACCUUUGUGCCAGUUGCUAAUGAUACACAUGACUGCACUGUGAGAAACUUAAUAGCUUCAUACACUUUAGUACACUGAGUCAUCUUUAUAAACAUCAAAAAAUCUAAAAUUUCAGAUAAUUGCUUCUCAUUAGCAAUGGCCUAUAAGCAGUUUACUAGCUCAACAAUACAGAAUCUGUAUUAAUAAUGGUUUGUCCAUUUGCAGGAACAGAGAAAAUAAUCUACUUACUAACGUACACAGGAUGAACUACGGAAAGUUCAUGCAAGGAAAAAAAAGUAAAAAACAAACAUGAAGAGCUAUACUUGCUUGUUUUUUGGUGAGAAAAAGGACAAAUGGAGAGGUGGUCUGUAAAAACAUAAUAAAUAGCAACUGCAGUUUCCCCAGUGUUUUUUUAUUUUGUCUGGAAUUACUUACAUGAGAUGAUCAUCAACGUUAUUUGUUGAGGAAGCAUCUUCCAGUGUCCUGGUGGAUGAAAAGAUGAACAUGAGCCAGCAUUAUGAUCUUGCCGCCCUGAAGGUCGACUGUAUCUUUGUCUGCAUCAGAAGAGGGGUGGCCAGCAG
Molecule: long non-coding RNA, 650 nt
Filed under: Gallus gallus (chicken)
Lineage: Eukaryota; Metazoa; Chordata; Aves; Galliformes; Phasianidae
Source: RNAcentral